CAGAAAGACAGAGACUUUCUACAAUCUCAGAAUCACCAAUACCCUCAGAUUCCGACAGUGAAGGGUCUGGGGUUCUGUGAGGAGUAGCUGAGGGAGCUGGGGCUGGAAGAGAGGCUCAGGGCAGACCUUUUCACUUUCUACAAUUCCCUGACAGGAGGGCGCAGCCAGAUGGAGGUCGGGCUCUUCCCACAGGCAACAGCGACAGGACAAGAGGACAUAGGUGUGCAAAAGAGCUGGAAGAGACAUCCAGCCUGUUCCCUAUUGCAGAGAAGAUUUCAUUGC
Non-coding RNA from Taeniopygia guttata (zebra finch), 282 nucleotides. NCBI's taxonomy places the organism in Eukaryota, Metazoa, Chordata, Aves, Passeriformes, Estrildidae. The record is from RefSeq and is a predicted model, not a curated record.